This 918-nucleotide ribosomal RNA is filed under the name uncultured Nitrospira sp. Its description in RNAcentral is "bacterial SSU rRNA". It matches the Rfam family "Bacterial small subunit ribosomal RNA", at positions 45 to 959 of the family's 1533-position model. The record is from RNAcentral. Lineage: Bacteria; Pseudomonadati; Nitrospirota; Nitrospiria; Nitrospirales; Nitrospiraceae.
CGCCGCUAUAAUGCAAGUCGAGCGAGAAGGUGUAGCAAUACACUUGUAAAGCGGCGAACGGGUGAGGAAUACAUGGGUAAUCUACCAUCGAGUGGGGAAUAACCAGCCGAAAGGUUGGCUAAUACCGCGUACGCCUCCGAAUCUUCGGGUUCGGAGGGAAAGCCACACUGUGAGUGCGGCGCUCUUUGAUGAGCUCAUGUCCUAUCAGCUUGUUGGUAGGGUAACGGCCUACCAAGGCUUUGACGGGUAGCUGGUCUGAGAGGACGAUCAGCCACACUGGCACUGCGACACGGGCCAGACUCCUACGGGAGGCAGCAGUAAGGAAUAUUGCGCAAUGGGCGAAAGCCUGACGCAGCGACGCCGCGUGGGGGAUGAAGGUCUUCGGAUUGUAAACCCCUUUCGGGAGGGAAGAUGGAGCGAGCAAUCGUUCGGACGGUACCUCCAGAAGCAGCCACGGCCAACUUCGUGCCAGCAGCCGCGGUAAUACGAAGGUGGCAAGCGUUGUUCGGAUUCACUGGGCGUACAGGGUGUGUAGGCGGUUUGGUAAGCCUUCUGUUAAAGCUUCGGGCCCAACCCGGAAAGCGCAGAGGGUACUGCCAGGCUAGAGGGUGGGAGAGGAGCGCGGAAUUCCCGGUGUAGCGGUGAAAUGCGUAGAGAUCGGGAGGAAGGCCGGUGGCGAAGGCGGCGCUCUGGAACAUACCUGACGCUGAGACACGAAAGCGUGGGGAGCAAACAGGAUUAGAUACCCUGGUAGUCCACGCCCUAAACUAUGGAUACUAAGUGUCGGCGGGUUACCGCCGGUGCCGCAGCUAACGCAUUAAGUAUCCCGCCUCGAAGUACGGCCGCAAGGUUGAAACUCAAAGGAAUUGACGGGGGGCCCGCACAAGCGGUGGAGCAUGUGGUUUAAUUUCGACGCAA